Molecule: ribosomal RNA, 442 nt
Filed under: Porphyromonas sp. oral taxon 284
Lineage: Bacteria; Pseudomonadati; Bacteroidota; Bacteroidia; Bacteroidales; Porphyromonadaceae
Description: bacterial SSU rRNA
Rfam family: Bacterial small subunit ribosomal RNA
Source: RNAcentral
GAUGAACGCUAGCGAUAGGCUUAACACAUGCAAGUCGAGGGGCAGCAUGGUCUUAGCUUGCUAAGACUGAUGGCGACCGGCGCACGGGUGCGUAACGCGUAUGCAACUUGCCUCACAGAGGGGGAUAACCCGUCGAAAGACGGACUAAUACCGCGUACACUUGGAGGGAGGCAUCUUCCACCAAGGAAAUGAAUUUCGCUGUGAGAUAGGCAUGCGUCCCAUUAGCUAGUUGGUGAGGUAACGGCUCACCAAGGCAACGAUGGGUAGGGGAACUGAGAGGUUGAACCCCCACACUGGUACUGAGACACGGACCAGACUCCUACGGGAGGCAGCAGUGAGGAAUAUUGGUCAAUGGGCGAGAGCCUGAACCAGCCAAGUCGCGUGAAGGAUGACUGUCUUAUGGAUUGUAAACUUCUUUUGUAGGGGAAUAAAGAACGGUACG